AUGGCCUUUAGGUCCUCCAGGACACUGGAAGUGACUGUCGGUCCUCCCACGGCAUCGUCUAGCGGGCCUCCAAGGGACCGGAAGUGCCCGUCACUCCCUCGGAAGUGCAUCUCUAUGGUCCCACGGUCCUCCGAGAAACAGGAAAAGCUCCUUAGUCCUCAGAGAUUCCGUCUCUGCGGCGUUUGGGUCCUCCAGGUCCUCCGCCUUUUAGAGCUGGGGACAGAACCAGAUGGGAACUCAGACCUGCCCUGCUGUGAGACAUCUGCCUCAAGUCACUGUGGAACUAGGUCCUCAUUUUCCAGUGCUUCUGACUGGGCUAUCAUCUUAAGAUUAAGCAGCAAAGAACUGAAUGUCAAUCUUUGGAACUCAGCAGUGAAAAAAUCUCAGUGCAACCUCAACAUUCGCAUAUUGACAGUAAUUUUAGGAUGCAAAGAGGCUCUACAAGACUUGAGUGCUAAUGUUGUUGAUGAGCUAUGAAAGAUAUCAGAAGGCACCUUAAUUUCAGGAAGCGAAUGACGUACUCCUAAUGGUGCAGUAAGUAUUUAAGUGGUGAAGUUUCUCAAUUUAAAAAAAAAAAAACCUAGCAAAUAUUGUCUUUAUGCUCAGCACAUUACCUAAUUAAAGCAAAUUGCUGAAACAUUUCUGCUUUUUUGUCUCCUUUCCGUCAUCAGCAUGCCAUUAUUAAGCCCAACGUUACUUAGGUGUAUCUUUCUGUUGAUAAUUUUCAUUUAGUGUCUGUUUUUAUUGCUAAGUUUCACUAGAGAGAUUAGUAGAAUGAGAAGUUAUCUGGCAAAUAAAUGGCAGAACAAGUGAUUUUU
Molecule: long non-coding RNA, 818 nt
Filed under: Calidris pugnax (ruff)
Lineage: Eukaryota; Metazoa; Chordata; Aves; Charadriiformes; Scolopacidae
Description: lncRNA (ENSCPUG00000010356.1)
Source: RNAcentral